CCAAUAGCGUAUAUUAAAGUUGUUGCAGUUAAAAAGCUCGUAGUUGAAUUUCGGGAUCAAUUUAUUGGUCGUGCUAUUGUACGUACUGGUAUUAUUGAUUUCUACCUUCUGACGAACCAUGAUGUCAUUAAUUUGGUGUCUUGGGGAAUCAGGACUGUUACUUUGAAAAAAUUAGAGUGUUUAAAGCAGGCUCACGCUUGAAUACAUUAGCAUGGAAUAACGAAAUAGGACGUUUGAUUCUAUUUUGUUGGUUUCUAGGAUCGACGUAAUGAUUAAUAGGGAUAGUUGGGGGCAUUAGUAUUCAAUUGUCAGAGGUGAAAUUCUUGGAUUUAUUGAAGACUAACUACUGCGAAAGCAUUUGCCAAGGAUGUUUUCAUUAAUCAAGAACGAAAGUUAGGGGAUCGAAGACGAUCAGAUACCGUCGUAGUCUUAACCAUAAACUAUGCCGACUAGGGAUCGGAUGAUGUUAAUUUUUUAAUGACUCAUUCGGCGCCUUACG
RNAcentral lists this small RNA (499 nucleotides) under uncultured Glomeromycotina. Its description in RNAcentral is "SSU rRNA". It matches the Rfam family "Eukaryotic small subunit ribosomal RNA", at positions 591 to 1092 of the family's 1831-position model. Lineage: Eukaryota; Fungi; Glomeromycota. The record is from RNAcentral.